RNAcentral lists this ribosomal RNA (459 nucleotides) under uncultured bacterium. Its description in RNAcentral is "partial 16S ribosomal RNA". It matches the Rfam family "Bacterial small subunit ribosomal RNA", at positions 338 to 795 of the family's 1533-position model. The record is from RNAcentral.
CCUACGGGAGGCAGCAGUGAGGAAUAUUGGUCCAUGGGCGCGAGCCUGAACCAGCCAAGCCGCGUGAGGGAAGACGGUGCUAUGGAUUGUAAACCUCUUUUGUCGGGGCACAAAAGACGCCUCGCGUGCCUGUCCGAGAGUACUCGAAGAAAAAGCAUCGGCUACCUCCGUGCCAGCAGCCGCGGUAAUACGGAGGAUGCGAGCGUUAUCCGGAUUUAUUGGGUUUAAAGGGUGCGCAGGCGGAAGAUUAAGUCAGCGGUAAAAUUGAGGGGCUCAACCUCUGCGAGCCGUUGAAACUGGUUGUCUUGAGUGGGCGAGAGGUAUGCGGAAUGCGUGGUGUAGCGGUGAAAUGCAUAGAGAUCACGCAGAACUCCGAUUGCGAAGGCAGCAUACCGGCGCUGAACUGACGCUGAUGCACGAAAGUGUGGGUAUCGAACAGGAUUAGAUACCCGAGUAGUC